UACGGAGGGUGCAAGCGUUAUCCGGAUUCACUGGGCUUAAAGGGUGCGUAGGCGGGCAGGUAAGUCAGUGGUGAAAUCCCCGAGCUUAACUUGGGAACUGCCGUUGAUACUAUCUGUCUUGAAUGUUGUGGAGGUGAGCGGAAUAUGUCAUGUAGCGGUGAAAUGCUUAGAUAUGACAUAGAACACCAGUUGCGAAGGCAGCUCGCUGGACAAUUAUUGACGCUGAGGCACGAAAGCGUGGGGAGCAAACAGG
Molecule: ribosomal RNA, 253 nt
Filed under: uncultured bacterium
Lineage: Bacteria
Description: partial 16S ribosomal RNA
Rfam family: Bacterial small subunit ribosomal RNA
Source: RNAcentral